UUUCCGGUUGAUCCCGCCGGAGGUCACUGCUAUUGGGGUUCGACUAAGCCAUGCAAGUCGACUGGUUUUCGCGACCAGGGCGGACGGCUCAGUAACACGUGGGUAACCUACCCUCAGGACAGGGAUAACCCCGGGAAACUGGGGAUAAUACCUGAUAGGUAAAGACUUCUGGAAUGAGUCUUUGCCCAAAGCUCCGGCGCCUGAGGAUGGGCCUGCGGCCGAUUAGGUUGUUGGCGGUGUAACGGACCACCAAGCCUAAGAUCGGUACGGGCACUGGGAGGUGGAGCCCGGAGAUGGGGGCUGAGAAAAGGCCCCAGGCCCUACGGGGCGCAGCAGGCGCGAAAACUCCGCAAUACGCGCAAGCGUGACGGGGGAACCCCAAGUGUCAUGCCUUUGGGUAUGACUUUUGCAGAGUGUAAACAGCUCUGCGAAUAAAGGCGGGGUAAGACCGGUGCCAGCCGCCGCGGUAACACCGGCCGCUUGAGUGGUGACCACUAUUAUUGGGCCUAAAGCGUCCGUAGCCGGUUCUGUAAGUCCCUGGGUAAAUCCACUCGUUUAACGAGUGGCCUCCCAAGGAUACUGCAGAACUCGGGAGCGAGAGAGGUCGGAGGUACUCCGGGGGUAGCGGUGAAAUGCUGUAAUCCUCGGGGGACCACCAGUGGCGAAGGCGUCCGACCAGAGCGUGUCCGACGGUGAGGGACGAAAGCCAGGGGAGCGAACGGGAUUAGAUACCCCGGUAGUCCUGGCCGUAAACGCUGCCCGCUAGGUGUUGCAUGCUCUACGGGGGCGUGCAGUGCCGAAGCGAAGGUGAUAAGCGGGCCGCCUGGGAAGUACCGUCGCAAGACGGAAACUUAAAGGAAUUGGCGGGGGAGCACCACAAGGGGUGAAGUCUGCGGUUUAAUUGGAUUCAACGCCGGA
This 918-nucleotide ribosomal RNA is filed under the name uncultured euryarchaeote. RNAcentral's name for it is "bacterial SSU rRNA". It matches the Rfam family "Archaeal small subunit ribosomal RNA", at positions 1 to 922 of the family's 1478-position model. The record is from RNAcentral. Lineage: Archaea; Methanobacteriati; Methanobacteriota.